GUCCCUGGACUUGACAGGCCUUUUCAUCAGUCAAGAUCAGAAAUUCAGAAAAAAUGUCUUUUGUUUUGUUUUUAGUUGCUUCCGCUGUCCAAACUCUGAUGGAUCUUUGGAGACAUCCUCAUUUUUUUGGUAACUUUUCUGAUCGGACGCACAUUGAUGGAGCUGAACAAUCCGACUGUUAAUCAGAGGUUUCUGAUCAGUAGUCACAGGUUUAGCCCCUAUUACAAGCUGCCCUAAAUCUUUGAUAAAGGCCAAUCCAGAAACCCACAUGGGCUUAAUGAUCGUGUACCCUUGAGAAAAGGUGUGAAAAACCUCCCUUGACGUGACGGAGCAGUUGUUCAAUAAACCCAGUCCAAUACUGGAAAUAGGCUUUUGAUUGAGCACAUAAUUCAGCCGGCCAGCCAAACAUUGGUAGCUGAUGAGAAAUGUAAUUUAAAUGCAUUGAUUGAUGAGAAGAGGAGCGGACCACCUGACAGGUCAAUUUAUUUAUGUCAACAAUGAAACACUGAUCAAAUUAAAAGAGAUAAAUAUAAGUAUAACGAACUGAAUUCAAAGACCCUUGGGAAGAUUAAGUGGAAUAGUGACGAGGCAUUUGAAGGUUAAUAAGUUCCUGAGGAAAUUAACCAGGGCUGGCUCUAUGACCAUCAAAUUAUCUACAAAUCAUUACUUAUAUGAAUAUGGAAAAUCUUAUUUUGUCGGCAUGAUAAUGAUGUUACUGAGACACUCACUGUGAUCAAAUCGUUCAGAUUUUUUUAAAGAAAAAUUUGAUACAUUUUGACAUGCAGAUUUACUGACGUCUUUGAUGGCUAGACUAUCAAAGAUGUCAUUAAAUCUGCCAAUGUUUUUUUUUCAAUUGCUUUGAUGUCUACAGAUCCAAAAAUUGGGUCUGUAGACAUCAACAUCCUUUUCCUGUUAAAAUAAUUAUAUUUUAAAUAUAUUAAAGAAUUGUCGUUGUGAACCAUAUAUGCAUAGAGAUAUAUAGAGUAGAUUUACAUACUCUAAUUAAUAUAUAUACAGUAUAUAUAUACUUAUUAAUGUUAGAAGUGAAAGCAUAAAUACACUUGUUUUUAUAUUUGUAAAAGUGCAGCGUCCUUCCUGUGUGUCUGUGUGUGUCCUGCCUGGCUGAGCCUGGUUGACCUACUUGCCUUUCAACCACUGCCUGAAUACCUGCUGUUCAUCAUCCUGAUUGUCACCACUCACUCCUGCAGUAUUUAUCCUUCUUCCACUCACCUCUCACUUCCGUAGCUCCCUGGUGUAAUGUCACAGCUAAUUGUUACCUGUUGUCUUUCCAUCAUAGUGAUUUAUUUAAGUCCUUAUUUUUAUUUAUUUAAGUUUGUUGGCCUGAGAACACACACGGCUAUCUCUGUCUCAAUAUUAUUUAUUUAUAAAAAUAAUAAUAAUUGAACCACCAAAGUUGUGAUACUGUACAUGACGGUUCACUACCUGCUCCUAAAAAUACACUGAUACACCUUAACGAAUUGUAAUGAGAAUUGCUGCUCAGUUACCGUAACUUUUAGUAUCUAUUGUAUUUAAAAAACAUAUAACUCCAUACUGCAUUAAUCAUUUGUGAAGAUUAAUCAGGUUAGAAUUUUGAAGAAAUUUCAGCAACUAAUUUAAUUAGUUCCACCGUCAAUCCACUUACGGCUGCUCUGAUACACCGUUAAUUUAUUAUCUAUAAACCAUUACGUGAAUAACUUUAUGUUUAAAAAGCACCUGGAGUGACAAAUAACUCAAAUAUAUAUACGUAUAUAUUUAAUCCAUAUAAGGCGCUGUAUUUAAUUCAACAAUGUGUCACAUUAGAAUAAAUAAAUACGUGUAGUCAUUUCCCUGAUGGUCAUGUUCUGGAGGUUUUUAAUGGGUCAGUAUUACUUUUCUGUUGAAUCUACAUUUAUUUAGUUAAAAAUAAUCUUUCAAAAACAAAAAUUGCCCAUCAGCAGUUAUUCCCUCGACAAUUCCACGUCUAAAAACUGCCCUCAGGCAGAAGGCACCAUCUCCCUGGGGUUAGAACUAAAGUCACAAAGCCUGUUCUGUAUCAUGCAAUUGAGUAAAACACUGUUUAUUAUUUAAUGUUCUGGCAUUUUUAAACUUUUAUUAUUGCUGUCAUUUUGUAAGGUUUACAGGUGCGUGUUCCAUGUUUUGUUGUCACAUUUUAUGACCUUUUAAAGGUUUUAUGUUGUGUUACAUAAGCCACAUAUUGUGGGAACAAAACUCAAUAUCUCAGCAAACAUUUUGCUACAUUUACAUAGUAUUUUCUUCCAUAGAAAUAAAGCUGUCCGCACAAUAAUUUGCAGUGCAUUUAAAUAUCCGAAAUAAAAGUGCUAAUUAACUCCCACGUUUACAGGAGGAAACAAAGGCUUUGAAAACUCCAACCAUGAAUAUAGGCUAGGACAGGAUGAAUGCUCAGUGUUUCUUUAAAAUAAAAAUAGAAAUAUUUUCUCUAUAAUUAAGCACAAACUAAAAGAAAGAAAUGCAUUAAUUUUUUGUUGUACUGUAAUAUUUUUGAUUCAUACAUCUCCAACUGCAUACUCCAAGAAGGAUUUGUAUUCAUUGGGUUUGGUUCAACCUGGGGUAUAGGUCACGGGGGGGUCACACUCGCUUUACUCUGCAUCACAGUGUGAUGCCUGCUCCUGAGAGACGCCUUUGACUCUUAAAGCUGAUAAACCUUUUACAAUGUUUUCUUUUCUAAUAUCACUGAAAGCAAACACUUUCUGAUGCCACACAAUAAGGCAGGGGGGAUUUAACCACAACCAAAGGUUGCAGACUGAAAAGUCCAAUCACUGAGCCUUCACAGAGGAUACAUCUUACAGACCUUGACAUCCAGCAGAUGUCACUGGCUUCAAAACGUCAUCACAGCGAGGGUUCUCAAAGACCAUUUCCCUCCAACCCUCACUCAGAAAUAUUAUAAUAUAUAUAUUAUAUUAUAUAGCUAAGCUAGCCCCAUCUCCAGCCACCUAAAAAAAAUAAUAUAUACUUUUUAAUUACAUUUACAGUUUAUGUUGACUGAUUUUUACUGAUCAAAUUUAUCGAAUAACUGAUGUAAAGAAUUGUAGCCUGGUUCCUAGUAAACCUCUUGCUGGCUCACUAUAUGUAUUAAGAAUAAAAUACAUAAAUAUUAGAUGCGUCUGGUUACCUGACCUUAAACCAGCGGCAGGUGACUUGUUGAUUUGCUGUUUUACUGAAUUCCAUCUCACUUAUUUCUCAAACACACACACAUGAAAAUCCACUGCUGUGUCAGUUGACAGUACUUGCAACAUGACUCCUCGGUUUCAAGAGGCAACAAAGAGCAAAUCUCUACCCACCUUUCUGCCACUGAUAAACCACAGUUGACUCCCUGUGUUGCCACAGGUCAGUACUCCCUGAGACAGCGCGGAAAACUGGAUUUAGUUACAGUCUCCUCUCUUCUCCUCUCCUCUCCUCUCCUCUUUACUCCUCACCUGUCCUCUCCUCUCAGGACAGCACUCUGUUUUUUCUGACGCAGGAAUAUCUACGACCUGCCCAGAACAGUUUCACCUGCUCUGUCUCUAGAUAAAGGAGCUGGACAAAAUAAUAGCGUAUACAGUGUCUCUGUACAAUAGCUGAUUGCGACAUCAUGAGUGUUUGACGUUGAAUUGAGAUAACUAUCUACAAAACGCCUUCCACAACACUGAAGGAAUUAGACCACAAACAAAUGUCUCCUUGGCUUUAAGACUGUGGAUUUGGCUGAUGGCCAAGAACAACGUGAUUGCUCUCAGGAAUUGUGUCGUUUGUCUGACAAUUAAAAUCCAAUGGUAUUAAUUGCAUCAUUAUGAGCACGACCAGGGGUAACAGGAUUUAUUGUGAUUGCCAGCCUGUGCAUUCAACACAGCACAAUCCACCGGGAAGACAACUGAGCCACAAAAGACGUCACUAGCAGUGGUCUCGUGGGAUUAAAUGACAAUCAACAGCAGGAGAACGUCUCCGAUUAUAAUUACAGACUAAUAGACUUACAGACUAAUUAGCCUUCGUGGGAUCUAAACAAUCAGUAUAUCAAUUAGGUUUGUUGGAAAAGAUAAACUUAUACUGUACAGUAGGUAUCUUGAAUCAGCCGCCAUUGCUUUAAUUGAGUAUUGCAGUGAUUCAUUUGCCGGUCCAAUUCCAACAUCUUCAACUGCAUUAUUGCCAAGAGUCAAUGGGCAGCAAUAAUAGAACCAAGGAGACUAACUGCUAACACUACUAACAUUUAGUUUCCUUAGUUCCUAAACAGUGUAGGUGUAGUGUAGCUAAAAUAGAUUUGACCCAGUGUUUGCACUUCUUGAAAGUAUCCCAUGUGACUUGCUCAGUGUCAGGUCUCUGCCGUACUUCAAUUCAAAUUGAUGUGUCAAGUGUAUUUUGAAUACUCCUUAACAAGGCUGGAGAUGAGAGCUCUUCAAACAACUCUGUCUGCAGCAGCUAAUGUGCAGUUAUGACAUAAGUGCUCUGCUGACAACCAGCCGGUUUCUGUCAAGGGCUAUAAAGCAGAGCGUAACAUAUUUAUGACAUAUUUAAUUACAGAAAAAUUAUUGAAUAAAUACAUUAUUAUUAUUAUUAUUGUUUCUUGAAUUUUGCACUUCAUGUAGAAAUAUAUUCAUGUUCUUAAGUGUGUAACACAGGGGCCAGUUGUCAUUUGAGGAUAAUGAUAUUUCUUGUUCGCCCUGCCUUAAGCUCUUGUUCUGGCAACUCCCAGCCUGCGCGGUGUGCUUCAUCAAUUGCUAAUUGAAAAAGCAGUUGCUUACUGAACAGGCUGAUGUGGACCUCUGUCAUUCUCCACAGUCUUUUGUUUGUCAUUUCUCUUUGGCUCUCACGUUCUAACGUAUUCGUGUGUAGAAGGGCUCAAACUGUUGUUAAUUACUGUACGUGGGCGAUACGCCAAGUUCCUGCUGCUUCAAACAGGGCUAAAUAAACUUUCACCCAACUGUAUUAACAAUAGAUGAAGGCUUCCUUUUUUUUUCUUCUUCCUCUUCUUCAUUGUAGUGAAACAUUGACCUUGACACACAUUACACAUUGUCUUGUAGACUGUAUAUUUUGGUUUGAGUGGCGUACUUCGCAUAUUUUAUCUGAACAAUACGCCUGAGGGGAAUUGUAGAUGAACGCAUGCAAAGCAUGGCGUGACAUCUAGUAGUACAACAGCCGGCAGCGCUUUUGUAUGCAUCAAUAAACAACCUAAAAAAGAAAAAAGUGCAUACAACUGCUACGCCUGCCUGAGUGUUCAUGGAUGUUAAUCUAAAUGGGAAAUGUUGCCGUCCCACAGGAUUUCAGAGCUGUCCAGUCAUGAUAUGAACACAGAUGCGUUGGAGUUUUCCUUCAUGCGUGCUCUAAACACAUUCUUGUUCUAGUGUAACAGUGUAAAACAAGGUUAAAAAUGGUGUCUGUUUGCUACAGAAUUUGUUUGUUUUGCUCUUAAUCCUGUCCAUUAGACCAUUAACCUGUGCCUGAAACAGAACACAUGUUGCCAGAGAAUUACCGCUUAUGGCUUAGGCUAGACCUCAGUGACUCACCCUGUAAGCUGUGAUAGAAUUUCCCCAUGCAGCUGUUGAGACAAAAGCCUAAAAACAAAGACAUAAGAG
Long non-coding RNA from Cynoglossus semilaevis (tongue sole), 5561 nucleotides. RefSeq lists it as uncharacterized. The transcript has 2 exons. Lineage: Eukaryota; Metazoa; Chordata; Actinopteri; Pleuronectiformes; Cynoglossidae. The record is from RefSeq and is a predicted model, not a curated record.